RNAcentral lists this ribosomal RNA (253 nucleotides) under uncultured bacterium. RNAcentral's name for it is "partial 16S ribosomal RNA". It matches the Rfam family "Bacterial small subunit ribosomal RNA", at positions 524 to 776 of the family's 1533-position model. The record is from RNAcentral.
UACGAAGGUCCAAGCGUUGUUCGGAAUCACUGGGCGUAAAGGGAGCGUAGGCGGCGUGGUAAGUCAGAUGUGAAAUCCCGGGCUCAACCCCGGAACUGCAUCCGAUACUGCCAUGCUAGAGGAUUGGAGAGGUAGCUGGAAUUCUUGGUGUAGCAGUGAAAUGCGUAGAUAUCGAGAGGAACACCAGUGGACGAAGGCGAGUCCCUGGACAACACCGUGACACUGAGGCACGAAAGCUAGGGGAGCAAACAGG